Long non-coding RNA from Passer montanus (Eurasian tree sparrow), 511 nucleotides. RefSeq lists it as uncharacterized. The transcript is spliced from 3 exons. The record is from RefSeq and is a predicted model, not a curated record. Lineage: Eukaryota; Metazoa; Chordata; Aves; Passeriformes; Passeridae.
CGCCCGUCCCGGCCCGGCCGCGGCCUCGCUGCAGCGGCGGCACCGGAAACCGACCGGCCGGACGGGCCCCGCCCGCCGUGACGUCAAUGCGCCUCGCUCUCGCCCGGGCCCGUCGCCGCGGGAAACAAGUAUUCCUUUGUGCUUGAUGCAAUCCCUGCUGGAGUCCUGGAGCCAGGAGAGGAACAGAACCAGCUUCCAGGAGGAGAACUGUGAAGCCACUGGACACAGCUUCCCCCAGUCAUGAUAUUUUUGAAAAUGGCUUUGAAGUGAUGACUCUGUGAUACCUGCAUCUUGUGAUCAGGGUUCUUCCAAACUCAGAAUGGCCUCUGACAACCAAUCCAGCUCUCUGCUUUCUUCUCACUUUGCCAUUGCAUAAGAGGAAAAAUCUCCUUAUCUGCGCUGACAGAAACAAUGAGUAAACUCAUCAAAGAUGAGGAGAGCACAGGUAUAAACUCCACUUUCCUCUCUCUAGCAUUGCAUUGCAAUGCUCAGCCCUCUCUGAUAUCAGUGC